UCACACCCUCCAAGGCCGUGCUGGGGGGAGUGGGGAUGGAUUUGGGGGUCCCAUCCCGGCCUCGGGGAUUUGGGGGUGAGGUGGGAAGGUGGGAAGGUGGGAAGGGCUCCUUACCACGAUGCUGGAGGGAGAGCCGGGAACGCUGGAUCCGCGGGAAGAGCAGACGCUCCCAGGGGAGGUCAGAGGCUGCUGGAUGGAAAAUGGGGAGGGGGCUCAGCCCAGGGGGUUUGGGGACAGCCCUGUGUCAGAAUUCGGGACAUCCGUCUGUCUGUCCUUGCUCAAACCCCUGCCAGGGGGCUCAGAGACCCUCUGAGACCCCUGAGAUUUUGAUUUUAACCCAUUGGAAAAAAAUUAUCAACCUUAUUGAAGACCUGCAAGCCACGAAAGUUUAAGUAGAAUGAUAGUGAAUUUAUCAUGGGGUGAAAAAAUUAAUUUUUUGGGGGUUUUUAGAAUGGGGGCUCAGAGACCCUGGCACAGAGCCCAAGACCCCGUGCCUUUGAUUUAGCCCUUGGGAAAAACAAUUACCAAGNUUUUGGGGGUUUUUAGAAUGGGGGCUCAGAGACCCUGGCACAGAGCCCAAGACCCCGUGCCUUUGAUUUAGCCCUUGGGAAAAACAAUUACCAAGCAUUACAAGUCAAAAGAGUUUAAGUAGAAUAAUUGUUAGUUUGUCACAGGGUGGAAAAUAGAAUUUUUUGGGGGUUUUUAGAAUGGGGGCUCAGAGACCUUGUCACAGAGCUUGAGACCUGAGAUUUUGAUUUUAACCCAUUGGAAAAAAUAAUCAACCUUAUUGAAGGCCUGCAAGCCACGAAAGUUUAAGUAGAAUGAUAAUGAAUUUAUCAUGGGGUGAAAAAUCGAUUUUUUGGGGUUUUGGGUAUGGGGGUUCAGGAGGCAAAAUGGAAAAAUCUGGGCAUGUCCAGCCUUUCUCCUCCUCCUUCUUGGCCUCCAUCUCCUGCUCUGAUGGUGGCACUUUUGGGUUGGUUUAGAGCAGAAGCUCACUGUCUAACAUAGGGGAUAGGUGUUGGAAAAUUAUUGUAAAUAUUGUACAUGUAGUUUUUAGUAUAAAAAGAUAACUGAGGGUGUCAGAGUGCUUCUGUCUGACCUGCUGGACAGACCUCAGCAGGGCAGGGAAAGAAUUUUAUAAAUAAGAUACAACAAACAACCU
Molecule: long non-coding RNA, 1162 nt
Filed under: Zonotrichia albicollis (white-throated sparrow)
Lineage: Eukaryota; Metazoa; Chordata; Aves; Passeriformes; Passerellidae
Description: lncRNA (ENSZALG00000000728.1)
Source: RNAcentral